GAUGUACUCCCUCCGUCCCAAAAUUCUUGUCUUAGAUUUGUCUAGAUACGGGUGUAUUUAAUACUAAAAUGUGACUUGAUACAUCCAUAUUUAGACAAAUCUAAGACAAGAAUUAUGGGACAGAGGGAGUACUUG
Molecule: non-coding RNA, 135 nt
Organism: Triticum aestivum (bread wheat)
Lineage: Eukaryota; Viridiplantae; Streptophyta; Magnoliopsida; Poales; Poaceae
Source: Rfam